GAACAUCAUCAGAUGUCGUAUCAGGGGAAAGCCUUGAGACAAAAAUCUGCUUAAGAGGUGGCACUGCAACUAAUGUGUUGCGGACAACUGAGAGGAUGGUGAUGGUUGAAUUUCUUCAACCGUCUCCAUCUCAGUCGACAACAAAAUCGAAACCGGAGCAGGAGAUUCCAAUCUUAA
Molecule: long non-coding RNA, 177 nt
Organism: Drosophila sulfurigaster albostrigata
Lineage: Eukaryota; Metazoa; Arthropoda; Insecta; Diptera; Drosophilidae
Exons: 2
Source: RefSeq, a predicted model, not a curated record